This 480-nucleotide ribosomal RNA is filed under the name uncultured bacterium. RNAcentral's name for it is "bacterial SSU rRNA". It matches the Rfam family "Bacterial small subunit ribosomal RNA", at positions 28 to 516 of the family's 1533-position model. The record is from RNAcentral.
GAUGAACGCUAGCGGCAGGCCUAAUACAUGCAAGUCAAGGGGUCGUAGCAAUACGGCACCGGCGAACGGGUGCGUAACGCGUACGCAAUAUACCUCUAAGAGGGGAUAGCUUCUGGAAACGGGAGGUAAUACCCCAUAGUAUUAUUUGGUAGCAUUACUGGAUAAUUAAAACUCAGGUGCUUAGAGAUUGGCGUGCGUCCAAUUAGAUAGUUGGUGAGGUAACGGCUCACCAAGUCGAUGAUAGGUAGGGGCGUGAGAGCGUGGUCCCCCACACGGACACUGAGAUACGGGUCCGACUCCUACGGGAGGCAGCAGUAAGGAAUAUUGGUCAAUGGACGGAAGUCUGAACCAGCCAUGCCGCGUGAAGGAUGAAGGUGCUACGCAUUGUAAACUUCUUUGGACGGAGAAGAAACCCCUGCCUGCGGGCGGGGCUGACGGUAUCCGUAGAACAAGCACCGGCUAAACUCCGUGCCAGCAGCC